UGCAGAUGGUUCCUGUAAAUAGCGCUUAAAACCACAGUGGAAAAGCCACAUGCUCCUGAUACACUUGGGGGGACAUAAAGGGAAACCCACACACCCAAGGAGGAGGGCUCUGGCCAUGCAAGGCUGAAGGCCCAGUGUACUGAUAUGAAAACUGAAGCUCAGACAGAAGAGGCGACGUUGCUUUCUUAACCACUGGAUUUGCAGUGCUGUGGUUCUCAGAAGAGGCCAGGACAGGUUAAUCCACUCACUUGGGAGGCAGCCGGUGCAGAGCUGAGAAUUUACCCCAGGCUACCAGCCUUCCGGCUGAGAGAGCAAGCUGACGCACGGUUCCUCAGCUGUCCCAUGGAGCCUGUUGCGGCCAUCCACCUCCUUCAAAGGGUUGAAUGUACAGCUGGUAUAAAAAUGGUGCUUUGUCGUCAUGAAGAAGGUGUAUUCUGGGAUCAAACCACCUGGCUGGAGAUGCUUACUAACCUCAGUUUCUUCAUCUGACCUUACCUUUCUAAAAGAAUAAGAAGAAGAUGAUACAUAUUCCUCUAAAGUCCCAACAGGAACCUUUUCCCCUCACUCCCUCCCCAGAGAUGUGUAUCAUUUCCAUGAGUGUCUGUACUUUUACAACAUGUGCAUAUUAAUAAACAAAAUAUGACAAAUUAUUUUGUCUUAAUAUUUGCA
This 669-nucleotide long non-coding RNA is filed under the name Homo sapiens (human). Its description in RNAcentral is "HSALNT0357925". Lineage: Eukaryota; Metazoa; Chordata; Mammalia; Primates; Hominidae. The record is from RNAcentral.